Molecule: long non-coding RNA, 102 nt
Organism: Dipodomys spectabilis (banner-tailed kangaroo rat)
Lineage: Eukaryota; Metazoa; Chordata; Mammalia; Rodentia; Heteromyidae
Exons: 3
Source: RefSeq, a predicted model, not a curated record
GUGAGAGGAAACUUAUCAUACUGCUCACAGUAAUAAGUGGCAAAAUCUUCAGGUUGAAGGCUGCUGAUGGUGAGAGAAUAAUCUGUCCCAGAUCCACUGCCA